UGCUAGUUCAUUGUUUUAGUGCGUUCAAAAUGAGUCUGUGAGAGCAGAGGGCGGUCAGUGGGAUUGUGUACAGGCCUAUCAGAGCGGCGCGGUCCAUGAAGGUCUAGGUAUUUCCAGAGCCUCUGACAGGAUUACACAUAAUAACACAGCCCUGGAUUUAGAGAAUUAAGCUCCUGCCUUAUUUAUAGAUGGCACAUUUGAGAGUGCUGGUGAAACAAAGGCUCACAAAAGAGAAUGACUGAAGGUUGGUAAAUGUGUUAAACAACCCACUGUCCCGGCACAGAGUAAUCGGGGUAAAUAUGCCAGUCAAAAUUCCACUGCUGGAUCAUAUGCUCAUUAGAUUCAAAAGGAAGUCAAACUUCAGAGCAGGUCGACAGGAAGAGCAAGGGGAACUUGGACAAGCCCUGCGAGAGUGGGGGUUGGGAUCAUCUGAGGUCCUCUGAGGGGUUGGCAUCAUCUCUUCUCAGGUGUUCUGGAUCCAGACUGCAGCUUGUUUAAAUCCUAGAUUACCACGGGAUGUCAAUCCAGUGGCAAAACAGAGAAACAAAUAGAGGCAUAAUUAGCAUAGCUGCUGCUUCAACCAAGUAGAAUUAAUUUGUUUAACCCAAGCUAUAAAGAAUAAUAAUGUGCAUUUAAUCAGAUAUAGCUUCAGUACAAGAUUGAGAUAGAUUAUUUGAAUGCUUAGCCAAAGAGAUGUGUCUUUAAUCUAGAUUUAAACAGAGAGAGUGAGUUUGAACCCAGAACGAUAUAAGGAAGGCUAUUCCUGAACUUGGGAGCCAAAUACGAAAAAGCUGUACCU
RNAcentral lists this long non-coding RNA (799 nucleotides) under Carassius auratus (goldfish). RNAcentral describes it as "lncRNA (ENSCARG00000021118.1)". The record is from RNAcentral. Lineage: Eukaryota; Metazoa; Chordata; Actinopteri; Cypriniformes; Cyprinidae.